GAUGAACGCUGGCGGCGUGCCUAAUACAUGCAAGUCGAGCGAACGGACGAUAAGCUUGCUUCUCUGAUGUUAGCGGCGGACGUGUGAGUAACACGUGGAUAACCUACCUAUAAGACUUGUAUAACUUCGUGAAACCGGAGCUAAUACCGUAUAAUAUUUUGAACCGCAUGGUUCAAAAGUGAAAUUCGUUCUUGCUGUCACUUAUAGAUGGAUCCGCGCUGCAUUAGCUAGUUGGUAAGGUAACGGCUUACCAAGGCAAGGAUGCAUAGCCGACCUGAGAGGGGGAGCGGCCACACUGGAAGUGAGACACGGUACAGACUACGACGGGAGGCAGCAGGAGGGAAUAUUCGGCAAUGGGCGAAAGCAUGACGGAGCAAGGCCGCGUGAGUGAUGAAGGUCUGCGGAUCGUAAAACUCGGUUAUUAGGGAAGAAAAUAUGUGUAAGUAAAUGAGAACAGAUGGACGGUAACUAAAGAGAAAGCAACGGCUAACUACGUG
Molecule: ribosomal RNA, 497 nt
Filed under: uncultured bacterium
Lineage: Bacteria
Description: partial 16S ribosomal RNA
Rfam family: Bacterial small subunit ribosomal RNA
Source: RNAcentral